Non-coding RNA from Triticum urartu, 4729 nucleotides. The record is from RefSeq and is a predicted model, not a curated record. NCBI's taxonomy places the organism in Eukaryota, Viridiplantae, Streptophyta, Magnoliopsida, Poales, Poaceae.
GCCACCCACCGGCGGAGGACCAGAUGGGGCCGGGACCUGGGACCUCAAGCUCCCCCGUCCAACACCUGCUCGACAGGUUGCGCCAGCGAGAGGGCCUCACACCAUCUGGCCGCCCCAACAAUGAUAGCUAGCCGGGUAUAUAUCUCGGCUCGCCGGAUCUGCAUCGGCUUCAAGGGCCUAGCUCGCUGCUCAACACCAGUACUCAGAGAGCAGAAGGACCUGUCCAGUGCAGUUUUUGCUCUGGAGCAAGGGCCAACCAAGAGCCCGCGGGAGAGGUGGGUUGCAACUUGCAUUUGGUGGAUGUUAUUAUAAGAAAAGUAUAGUUUCACUUAUUUUUAAAUGGUACUUCCUCUCUAAACUAAUAUAAAAGCGUUUAGAUCACUACUUUAGUAUUCUAAACGUUCUUAUAUUAGUUUAUAGAGGGAGUACUAACUAAAUUAUGUCAGAGAGCAGAAGGGGCCUGCAUCCAGAAUUCUCUCAAGGCUCGGCUCGGCUCAUUCAAGAUUGUUUUAGAGCCACCAAACAGCGAGUGAUUGAAGGAAGCGUCGCAGUCGGACCAGUACUUGUUUCACUAUACACAUGUUUGCACCUUUUUCUCAUCUUGCUUUGUUUGCUCCUUUUCCAUUCCCUAUAGUCAUGUUUCUUGUGUGUGUCAAGGAUAUCCAAAGACGACAUACACACACUUCAGUUCAGGUGCCCCUACCAUUGACUCGAAUCGAAUCUUAUGUUGCUCACUACUUGACUAGCCGUUUGACAACCUCCCUAAAACAGCCAACGCGGAACUUGCCUCUAACUCUCAUGUACAACUUCUUUAAGGGAAAAUGUUUCUUCAGGUAUAACUUAUUUAUAUAAAUCCUAGUUUUUUUGGUAUGAUGAAUUUCUUUUCAAAAAAAUUGCUUUCAUCACAUAGAAUUCAUUAUACGUGCUUGCUUCGAAGUAUUUGUAUUUUUGAGCAGUGCUAAUUCGUUCAGACGUUGGGGAGGGAAAAUAGUUACACCAUGUUUCUUCAUGGAAUACGUCAAAACCCGCAAAAGUCUUAAAAAACGAAGAACCUCUUCUCUAGACAAUAGCAUACUCUGGUCCGGCGGCGUGCGUAGAAGCCAAACAUCAAAAUAUUUUAUAAAAUAAUAAUGUUGGCUUUCAUUUUGGUGUUGAGCUUACACCGGAAUUUGUAAUCCGUGUGGCAUCGUGUUGGGGGCCGCUGCGUGUUGCACUCUGUAUUGGACCCUAAGGCGGUCGAGAUUUGGUCGCGUAAACUCAUAUCACUACCGGAAUAACCCUAUAUGCCUACGGCCUUAUCUAUGCCGACGGUUUUUUGUCGGGGCCGUCGGCAUAACUCAAGCUACGCAGACGGCCUGGGAAAAGCCGUCGGCAUAGAGAAGCCGUCGGCAUACCUCCAUCUAUGCCUACGGCAGUCGUAGGCAUAGUUAGGCCGUCGGCAUAUAUCGAUCUAUGCCUACGGUGGCCGUAGGCAUAGUUAGGCUGUCGGCAUAGAUGUGGCCCUGGUGGCCCAGGGACAAACGGCGGGCUGACGCCGUCAAAUCUAUGCCGACGGCCCUGACGGCGGCCGUCAGCAUAGAUAUUAUCUAUAUUUUUUUACUAGGAGCUGUCACGUGGCAGAUCUAUGCCGACAGCAAAGCCGUAGGCAUAGUUUUCCAUCUAUGCCUACGGCCUUGCCGUCGGCAUAGCCCCGCCACGUGGCACCUCCUGGCAGCCCCUGGCUGAGAACUAUGCCUACGGCAUGGCCGUAGGCAUAGAUAUUAUUUGUUUUUAUUUUAAAAUUCUUUUAAGUUAAAUUUUGUUUAAUUUAAAUCUAACUUAUCUAAACUUAAACAUACACAAAUUAUACAUCGAUUUAGGGUAGAAUUUUCCAUAGAUUAUGAAUAUCCAAUUUGUUUUUGUUUUUGGGUAUGUUAGAAAUGUGGCCUUCUGUACUUUUGCAUAUAGGUCCUUCUGCUUUAUUAAAAUCAUAAGUAAUUGAUACUUGGAUUGAUUUUGACGAAAUUCAUAUGGUUUUUUAUCAGAAUCUUGAAAGGAUUAUGUGCUAUCUAUGUUUCAAAUUUGAACAAACUUAAAUCAUGUUUGCUUCAUCAGACUGUUUCAAGGAUUGUGGUGGCGGGUGCAAAGGCAACUGGCUCAGGAGUGUGACCCUUCAUGGACGCCGAUGCCGUUGUCACUUGGAGGGAGGAAACGGCCAUGUUGGGUUGACACGAAGGGAAUCUUAUGGUGGGUUUGUCCCAGACCUUGUUCUCAAGUGUUCCUAUGGGCCGACCUAUCACAACCAGGUGAAAACGUCCAUUGGUCAAAGAUCGUCCGGUGAAAGUCAAAGGCGUAGAUUUCCGGGUCAACUUGUCCAGGGUUCGGCUGACCGGGGGCCUUGGGGGGGGGGGGGGGGGACAAUGCCACGAGAGCAUCGCGCCGAGUCCUCAUACAUGUCGAAAGAUGUGGUGCCAUGUCUAAAGAGGCAAUACGCGGCUCCGGUGUGAGGUUUGCCCUCAUGAACGGCGAUGCAAUCGAAGUAAUCCUUCUGCGGUUUUGGCGUUGCAUGAAUAUUCCUGAACACUUGAAGCGUAAUCAAUUCAUGAGAUUUUUACAUAGUGCAGACACAUAUGAUAUAAUAUGUGUGGCAAUUUAUUAUAUUUUUGUAAGAUGCAGGAGUAUGUGAAAAAUCCCCCACCAUGGAUUGUUCUUCGCAUGUCUACGAGUGUGGUCGGGGGCCUUUGGGGGUUAGCUAUGCCAUCAAAUCUUGCGCCAGGUCCUCUUACAUGUCUGGAAGUAUGCUGUCAGGUGCAAACAAACGACACGCGGCUCCGGAAUGUGACCCCCUUCACGGAAGGCGCUGCCGCCGACACUUGCAGGGGGGGGGGGAAUGGCCGCAUCGGGUCGACACGAGGGGGGUCCGCUGGUGUGUUGGGCCCAGACCUUGUUUUGAAAUGUUCCUAUGGGCUGACCUAUCACAACCAGGUGGAAAAGUACGUUGGUCAAAGGCUGUUCGGUGAAAGUCAAAGGCCUAGAUCUUCGGGUCAACCGGGCUAGGAUUAGGUCGGUCGGGGGCCUUGGGGGUAUCAAUGGUACCAAAACUUGCAUUGUGUCUUAAUAUAUGUAUACAAGUGCGAUGGAGGGUUGAAAUAGACAAUGGAGGAAUGGGCAACGCAUUUCAUUCACAAACCAGACCCGUUCUCUCUCGAUAGCUAGAUACUAACUCGAAGAUGCUGCAGUUUACAAGCGGCCUCCGGUCAGGCUUUUGCGAAACGCGCUCAAACUUUUACCACACCCUACAAGGGGCAUAUGAAGACACUGUGCCCGGUCCCGGGGAUUUCCGGCAUCGUAUGAUUUUCCACAGAUUUUUACGGCUUGAUCUGGCAUGCCACCAAGGUGGCCGUCGUGCAGAUCUGCAAUUCCCCGCAUUGAAACCCUACGGAUGCAGUAAAUUUCUCAAAUAAUCCAGGCGGGCCCGAAAAAUGCCAUGUCCUGGCACGUGUCAUAAAAUGGCCCCCUUUGAGAGCAUGAGAAUUUUUUAGGUCAACGGAGCAACAGCCAGCGCAGUUCCUUCACAAACCGAAACAUUCUCUCUCUAUAGCAAGAUACUAACUCGAAGAUGGUGCAGUUUACAAGUGGCCGCCGGUCAGACUUCUGCGAAACGCGCUCAAAUUUUACCACACCUUACAAGGGCCAUAUGAAGACACCGUGCCAGGUCCCGAGGAUUUCCGACAUCGUAUGAUUUUUCGUGGAUUUUUACGGCUAGAUCUGACAUCUCGUCGAGGUGGCCGCUGUGCAGAUAUGUGAUUUCCCGCAUUGAAACCCUACGGAUGCAGUAAAUGUCUCAAAUAUUCCAGGCGUGCCCGAAAAAUGCCAUGUCCUGGCACGUUUCAUGAAAUGGCCCCCUUUGAGAGCAUGAGAAUUUUUGGGGUCAAUGGAGCAACGGGCAGCGCAGUUCCUUCACAAACCGAAACAUUAUCUCUCUAUAGCAAGAUACUAACCCAAAGAUGGUGCGGUUUACAAGUGGCCGCCGGUCAGACUUUUGCGAAACACGCUCAAAUUUUUACCACACCUUACAAGGGCCAUAUGAAGACACCGUGCCAGGUCCCGAGGAUUUCCGGCAUCGUAUGAUUUUCCGUGGAUUUUUACGGCUAGAUCCGACAUGCCGCCGAGGUACAUUCGCCCCCCAGUGGUGGCCGCCGUGCAGAUCUGCAUUUUUCCACAUUGAAGCCCUACAGAUGCAGUAAAUGUCUCAAAUAUUCCAGGCGGUCGCAAAAAAUGCCAUGCCCGGGAACGUGUCAUGAAAUGCCCCCCUUUGAGAGCACGAGAAGUUUCGAGGUCAACGGAGCAACGUGCAACACACUUCCUUCAUAAACCGGACACGUUCCCUCUCGAUAGCCAGAUACUAACUCGAAGAUGGUACAGUUUACAAGUGGCUGGAUCCGGCAUGCCGCUGUGAUCCUCCUCUCCCCUCACAGAUCGCCGGUAGCCGGGUCCGCCGGACCUCGUCCUGCCGCGUCCAUCCAUGCGUCAGGAUCCACUCCUUCCAUCCACCCACAACCCUACCUCGUGGCUAGGGUUUCGAUGGCCUCCACCUCUAGCGCUGCUCCGAUGGUGGCGAGGCCAGAGGACGCCAGACCCUUCACCGGCGUGCACGCGGUUAGCACUUGCCCUCCUUCAGCGGUCCAAGAGAGUAAAAAAAUUUAGAAGAAAAACAAAAGGGAGAACACAAUUGCAUGAGCUUGAUUCC